Molecule: ribosomal RNA, 231 nt
Filed under: uncultured bacterium
Lineage: Bacteria
Description: partial 16S ribosomal RNA
Rfam family: Bacterial small subunit ribosomal RNA
Source: RNAcentral
UGAGUAACCUGCCCUUCACUCUGGGAUAACUCCGGGAAACCGGGGCUAAUACUGGAUAUGACUCGAACAGGCAUCUGUUUCGGGUGGAAAGAUUUAUUGGUGGAGGAUGGACUCGCUGCCUAUCAGCUUGUUGGUGAGGUAAUGGCUCACCAAGGCGACGACGGGUAGCCGGCCUGAGAGGGCGAUCGGCCACACUGGGACUGAGACACGGCCCAGACUCCUACGGGAGNA